This is a non-coding RNA of Podarcis muralis (Common wall lizard), 67 nucleotides long. Lineage: Eukaryota; Metazoa; Chordata; Lepidosauria; Squamata; Lacertidae. The record is from the annotation of a RefSeq genome assembly.
UAGGGGUUAGUCUAACCAAGACAAUUAAUUUCGACUUAAUAGAUUCUAACACUAUUAGAACCCCUAA